CCUACGGGAGGCUGCAGUGGGGAAUAUUGGACAAUGGGGGCAACCCUGAUCCAGCCAUGCCGCGUGUGUGAAGAAGGCCCUCGGGUUGUAAAGCACUUUCAGUGAGGAAGAACGCCUGGUGGUUAAUACCCAUCAGGAAAGACAUCACUCACAGAAGAAGCACCGGCUAACUCCGUGCCAGUAGCCGCGGUAAUACGGAGGGUGCGAGCGUUAAUCGGAAUUACUGGGCGUAAAGCGCGCGUAGGUGGCUUGAUAAGCCGGUUGUGAAAGCCCCGGGCUCAACCUGGGAACGGCAUCCGGAACUGUCAAGCUAGAGUGCAGGAGAGGAAGGUAGAAUUCCCGGUGUAGCGGUGAAAUGCGUAGAGAUCGGGAGGAAUACCAGUGGCGAAGGCGGCCUUCUGGACUGACACUGACACUGAGGUGCGAAAGCGUGGGUAGCAAACAGGAUUAGAUACCCUGGUAGUC
Molecule: ribosomal RNA, 465 nt
Filed under: Vreelandella stevensii
Lineage: Bacteria; Pseudomonadati; Pseudomonadota; Gammaproteobacteria; Oceanospirillales; Halomonadaceae
Description: partial 16S ribosomal RNA
Rfam family: Bacterial small subunit ribosomal RNA
Source: RNAcentral